This 67-nucleotide transfer RNA is filed under the name Thenus orientalis. RNAcentral's name for it is "tRNA-His". It matches the Rfam family "tRNA". From Rfam's summary of the family: Transfer RNA (tRNA) molecules are approximately 80 nucleotides in length. Their secondary structure includes four short double-helical elements and three loops (D, anti-codon, and T loops). The record is from RNAcentral. Lineage: Eukaryota; Metazoa; Arthropoda; Malacostraca; Decapoda; Scyllaridae.
GUUUAAAUAGUUUAAUUAAAAAUGCUGGUUUGUGAUGCCGGAGAUAUAGGACGAGUUAUUUUAAACC